AUUGUAUCCACGAUUGGGGAAUUUUCCGCAAUGGGCGAAAGCCUGACGGAGCAAUACCGCGUGAGGGAGGAAGGCUCUUGGGUCGUAAACCUCUUUUCUCAGGGAAGAACACAAUGACGGUACCUGAGGAAUAAGCAUCGGCUAACUCCGUGCCAGCAGCCGCGGUAAUACGGAGGAUGCAAGCGUUAUCCGGAAUGAUUGGGCGUAAAGCGUCCGCAGGUGGCUUAUCAAGUCGAUUGUCAAAGGUCUUGGCUCAACUGGGAACAGGCAGUGGAAACUGAAAAGCUAGAGUGCGGUAGGGGUAGAGGGAAUUCCCGGUGUAGCGGUGAAAUGCGUAGAGAUCGGGAAGAACACCAGUGGCGAAAGCGCUCUACUAGGCCUGCACUGACACUCAUGGACGAAAGCUAGGGGAGCGAAAGGGAUUAGAUACCCCAGUAGUCAAUCGUGGAUACAAU
Molecule: ribosomal RNA, 455 nt
Filed under: uncultured cyanobacterium
Lineage: Bacteria; Bacillati; Cyanobacteriota
Description: bacterial SSU rRNA
Rfam family: Bacterial small subunit ribosomal RNA
Source: RNAcentral